GCCGGGCUUGGUAGUACAAGCUUGUAACUCAGGCGAGGGCACCAAGGUGGUUGAACGUUGGCCCGAUUCUGAUAAGCAGGAGCAGUCAGAGUUAAUUUGCUGGCACGCCCGUUCCAAGUAGGGAGUUGAACCAUGUGACUUGAAUAAAAGCUUGGGUAACGUGGCUCUUAGAGUGGAGGGCACCGCCUCAGAUUGGUUUCACAGAGCAGCGAAAACCUCCCGCUUCUAUAAGCCAGUGCUCCGCUGCCUCAACAAUUGCUCUAUGAGUCGAGCCCAAUCGGACAACCACCUUU
This 293-nucleotide signal recognition particle RNA is filed under the name Nelumbo nucifera (sacred lotus). Its description in RNAcentral is "Plant signal recognition particle RNA". It matches the Rfam family "Plant signal recognition particle RNA". The record is from Rfam by way of RNAcentral. Lineage: Eukaryota; Viridiplantae; Streptophyta; Magnoliopsida; Proteales; Nelumbonaceae.